CGGGGAGGUAGUGACGAAAAAUAACAAUACGGGACUCAUCCGAGGCCCCGUAAUUGGAAUGACUACAAUUUAAAUCCUUUAAGAAGGAUCCAUUGGAGGGCAAGUCUGGUGCCAGCAGCCGCGGUAAUUCCAGCUCCAAUAGCGUAUAUUAAAGUUGCUGCAGUUAAAAAGCUCGUAGUUGGAUCUCAGUUACGGGCAGGUGGUUCACUUUACAGUGCUACUACCUGAACCGAACCUAUUGCUGGAUCUCUUGGGUGCCCUUCACUGGGUGCCCCUUGAGACCAGAGCGUUUACUUUGAGAAAAUUAGAGUGCUCAAAGCAGGCGAAUGCCUGAAUAGUUGUGCAUGGAAUAAUGAAAUAUGGCCUCGGUACUGUUUUGUUGGUUCACGGUGCUCGAGGUAAUGGUUGAAAGGGACUGACGGGGGCAUUCGUAUUGCGACGUUAGAGGUGAAAUUCUUAGAUCGUCGCAAGACGGACUACUGCGAAAGCAUUUGCCAAGAAUGUCUUCAUUAAUCAAGAACGAAAGUCAGAGGUUCGAAGGCGAUCAGAUACCGCCCUAGUUCUGACCUUAAACGAUGCUAACUGGCGAUCCAGUAGGGGUAUUUAAAAUGACCUGCUGGGCAGCUUCUGGGAAACCAAAGUUUUUGGGUUCCGGGGGAAGUAUGGUUGCAAAGCUGGAACUUAAAGGAAUUGACGGAAGGGCACCACCAGGAGUGGAGCCUGUGGCUUAAUUUGACUCAACACGGGAAACCUCACCAGGCCCAGACACUAGAAGGAUUGACAGAUUGAGAGCUCUUUCUUGAUUUGGUGGAUGGUGGUGCAUGGCCGUUCUUAGUUGGUGGAGUGAUUUGUCUGGUUAAUUCCGAUAACGAACGAGACUUUAGCCUACUAAAUAGAUGGCAGAUACUCAAAAGAGUCUGCAUCGUCUUCUUAGAGGGACAAGGCAGCUUCAAGCUGCAUGAG
Molecule: ribosomal RNA, 963 nt
Filed under: Candona sp. 44 IK-2020
Lineage: Eukaryota; Metazoa; Arthropoda; Ostracoda; Podocopida; Candonidae
Description: SSU rRNA
Rfam family: Eukaryotic small subunit ribosomal RNA
Source: RNAcentral